UGGGGAAUUUUGGACAAUGGGGGAAACCCUGAUCCAGCCAUCCCGCGUGUGCGAUGAAGGCCUUCGGGUUGUAAAGCACUUUUGGCAGGAAAGAAACGUCGCGGGUUAAUACCCCGCGAAACUGACGGUACCUGCAGAAUAAGCACCGGCUAACUACGUGCCAGCAGCCGCGGUAAUACGUAGGGUGCAAGCGUUAAUCGGAAUUACUGGGCGUAAAGCGUGCGCAGGCGGUUCGGAAAGAAAGAUGUGAAAUCCCAGAGCUUAACUUUGGAACUGCAUUUUUAACUACCGGGCUAGAGUGUGUCAGAGGGAGGUGGAAUUCCGCGUGUAGCAGCGAAAUGCGUAGAUAUGCGGAGGAACACCGAUGGCGAAGGCAGCCUCCUGGGAUAACACUGACGCUCAUGCACGAAAGCGUGGGGAGCAAACAGGAUUAGAUACCCUGGUAGUCCACGCCCUAAACGAUGUCAACUAGCUGUUGGGGGCCUUCGGGCCUUGGUAGCGCAGCUAACGCGUGAAGUUGACCGCCUGGGGGAGUACGGUCGCAAGAUU
This 549-nucleotide ribosomal RNA is filed under the name uncultured bacterium. Its description in RNAcentral is "partial 16S ribosomal RNA". It matches the Rfam family "Bacterial small subunit ribosomal RNA", at positions 355 to 895 of the family's 1533-position model. The record is from RNAcentral.